GGUAACAGAAAGAAGCUUGCUUCUUUGCUGACGAGUGGCGGACGGGUGAGUAAUGUCUGGGAAACUGCCUGAUGGAGGGGGAUAACUACUGGAAACGGUAGCUAAUACCGCAUAACGUCGCAAGACCAAAGAGGGGGACCUUCGGGCCUCUUGCCAUCGGAUGUGCCCAGAUGGGAUUAGCUUGUUGGUGGGGUAACGGCUCACCAAGGCGACGAUCCCUAGCUGGUCUGAGAGGAUGACCAGCCACACUGGAACUGAGACACGGUCCAGACUCCUACGGGAGGCAGCAGUGGGGAAUAUUGCACAAUGGGCGCAAGCCUGAUGCAGCCAUGCCGCGUGUAUGAAGAAGGCCUUCGGGUUGUAAAGUACUUUCAGCGGGGAGGAAGGGAGUAAAGUUAAUACCUUUGCUCAUUGACGUUACCCGCAGAAGAAGCACCGGCUAACUCCGUGCCAGCAGCCGCGGUAAUACGGAGGGUGCAAGCGUUAAUCGGAAUUACUGGGCGUAAAGCGCACGCAGGCGGUUUGUUAAGUCAGAUGUGAAUCCCCGGGCUCAACCUGGGAACUGCAUCUGAUACUGGCAAGCUUGAGUCUCGUAGAGGGGGGUAGAAUUCCAGGUGUAGCGGUGAAAUGCGUAGAGAUCUGGAGGAAUACCGGUGG
RNAcentral lists this ribosomal RNA (657 nucleotides) under uncultured Pseudomonadota bacterium. RNAcentral describes it as "bacterial SSU rRNA". It matches the Rfam family "Bacterial small subunit ribosomal RNA", at positions 68 to 715 of the family's 1533-position model. The record is from RNAcentral. Lineage: Bacteria; Pseudomonadati; Pseudomonadota.